AUUGAACGCUGGCGGCAGGCUUAACACAUGCAAGUCGAACGGUAACAUAAAGAAGCUUGCUUCUUUGAUGACGAGUGGCGGACGGGUGAGUAAUGCUUGGGAAUCUAGCUUAUGGAGGGGGAUAACUACGGGAAACUGUAGCUAAUACCGCGUAGAAUCGGAAGAUGAAAGUGUGGGACCUUCGGGCCACAUGCCAUAGGAUGAGCCCAAGUGGGAUUAGGUAGUUGGUGAGGUAAAGGCUCACCAAGCCGACGAUCUCUAGCUGGUCUGAGAGGAUGACCAGCCACACUGGGGACUGAGACACGGCCCAGACUCCUACGGAGGCAGCAGUGGGGAAUAUUGCGCAAUGGGGGCAACCCUGACGCAGCCAUGCCGCGUGAAUGAAGAAGGCCUUCGGGUUGUAAAGUUCUUUCGGUAGCGAGGAAGGCAUUUAGUUUAAUUAGACUAGGUGAUUGACGUUAACUACAGAAGAAGCACCGGCUAACUCCGUGCCAGCC
Molecule: ribosomal RNA, 497 nt
Filed under: uncultured bacterium
Lineage: Bacteria
Description: bacterial SSU rRNA
Rfam family: Bacterial small subunit ribosomal RNA
Source: RNAcentral